This 640-nucleotide ribosomal RNA is filed under the name Lactiplantibacillus plantarum. RNAcentral describes it as "bacterial SSU rRNA". It matches the Rfam family "Bacterial small subunit ribosomal RNA", at positions 395 to 1027 of the family's 1533-position model. Lineage: Bacteria; Bacillati; Bacillota; Bacilli; Lactobacillales; Lactobacillaceae. The record is from RNAcentral.
CGCCGCGUGAGUGAAGAAGGGUUUCGGCUCGUAAAACUCUGUUGUUAAAGAAGAACAUAUCUGAGAGUAACUGUUCAGGUAUUGACGGUAUUUAACCAGAAAGCCACGGCUAACUACGUGCCAGCAGCCGCGGUAAUACGUAGGUGGCAAGCGUUGUCCGGAUUUAUUGGGCGUAAAGCGAGCGCAGGCGGUUUUUUAAGUCUGAUGUGAAAGCCUUCGGCUCAACCGAAGAAGUGCAUCGGAAACUGGGAAACUUGAGUGCAGAAGAGGACAGUGGAACUCCAUGUGUAGCGGUGAAAUGCGUAGAUAUAUGGAAGAACACCAGUGGCGAAGGCGGCUGUCUGGUCUGUAACUGACGCUGAGGCUCGAAAGUAUGGGUAGCAAACAGGAUUAGAUACCCUGGUAGUCCAUACCGUAAACGAUGAAUGCUAAGUGUUGGAGGGUUUCCGCCCUUCAGUGCUGCAGCUAACGCAUUAAGCAUUCCGCCUGGGGAGUACGGCCGCAAGGCUGAAACUCAAAGGAAUUGACGGGGGCCCGCACAAGCGGUGGAGCAUGUGGUUUAAUUCGAAGCUACGCGAAGAACCUUACCAGGUCUUGACAUACUAUGCAAAUCUAAGAGAUUAGACGUUCCCUUCGGGAC